UGCCCGCCGGGAGCCGAGCGAAAACUGUUACAGAAGUCUCUGAAUUUUCGCUGCCCGAUCCAAACCAGAAAGGGAUUCCGGGAUCCAAAACCUCAGUUUCAAGCCUCUGAGUGAGGGCGGUGUCGGCUCAGAAUUAAGGUUUCCAUGGAUUUUACCAGCCCUCCAUUAUCUCUCCAAGACAAUGGUUUUAGUAUGGUACCCACUGAUCCACUGGGGGAGAUUGAAAAACUCAAGGAAGAGCUGAGGAUGUGGAAGGCAAGUUCUGUAAAGCCCAUGGAAUCAUGGAGAUUUGCUAAAAUACAAAGAUUGGUGCAUCCUUCUAAAAUCAGA
Molecule: non-coding RNA, 330 nt
Organism: Zonotrichia albicollis (white-throated sparrow)
Lineage: Eukaryota; Metazoa; Chordata; Aves; Passeriformes; Passerellidae
Source: RefSeq, a predicted model, not a curated record